This 2073-nucleotide ribosomal RNA is filed under the name Triticum aestivum (bread wheat). RNAcentral describes it as "partial small subunit ribosomal RNA". Lineage: Eukaryota; Viridiplantae; Streptophyta; Magnoliopsida; Poales; Poaceae. The record is from RNAcentral.
AUGUCAAUCCUGGACGACUCAUCCACCAAUCUCGCGUCCUCCUCCCCACCAAUCCCCUAUCCUCCUCCAGCCCACCAAUCCCCCGCGUCCUCCUCCCCACCAACCCUAGCCAUGCCCUCGCCGCCACCUCUCCUUCCCCCGUUCGUCCUCUCCCGCCGCCGUCACCACCCCUAUCUCUCCUCCUUUCUCCUCGACGCCAUCAACGCGAGUGGGCACUCGGUGGAUCUGGUGGUCAGUGCGGGAUGCAACAGCGCAUCUGGCCGGAGGAGAACGCGGCGGCUGCAUCUCCUGGCAAUGCCCGGCGGACAGGUGUGGUGGAUCUGCCUCCUCCUCUCUCUUUCAACCCCGGUAGUGCUCUUUCAUGUACGCCGCCCUCUCCUUGACAACGGCAGCGCCAGGCCGUCAAAUCCGUCACUGUCGCCGUUCUUCUGCUCGAGGCCUUCGUCGUCCAUUAAGGUGUUCUAUUUUUCAACGUGCUGCAGCUACCACUUUGCCACUGCCCUGACUCCUUCCUGCAGACCAUGGAUCUGUCGUCGAUGCAGAGCGUCAACAGGGUGGAGGUUUGCCGCCCUAGCAGACUCGUGUGUUGUUGCCGCCGCAAUCCUUCUCUUUGUUGGAGUCUUCCUCCUCUGGUACGUCCUCUCUCGCGACCCUCGAGAGAAAAAAAUUGGUCUCUUUGACACGCUUGGGAUCGACGGAUCGUUCAUGCCAUGGUUGGAUUUGAAUGGGGCACCCUUUAAGCACAAACCUUUCGACGCAAGGACUGUCAUGGGAUUUGGAGUGCUCAAUGGCAUCUUAAUUGGACUUCUCAACCAGAGUCUAGGUUUCAACUCUGUUGGUUUCUAUCAGAGCAAGUCGAGCGCAUUAGUUGGAUCCAGCUUCUUGAUAUUGCAGAGGACUCGUCAAAAGGUGGAUUACUACUUCCUUGGAUAUUUUCAGGUUAUUAUUUCCUUGCUCCCCUUUGCCGGCAAGCAUUCUCAUCUUCUGGUCACUUGCACCGACAACAUGGACGGCAGGUCUUGCGGCUCCCAGCGCCCUCAACCCCCCACUGACCCUCUCUCAAUUUUGAUCUCUCCUCUACUCUUCUGGGUGGCGGUAGGCGCCAUGGACGCCGCUCUUGUGCUCAUCAAGGUUGGGUUGGAGCUACAGUGGCCAGCCACCGGGACGACACUGAUAGCCAAAGAAAGCUCCUUCCCCACCGCUGACAGCCAAAACCACUCUUGUGCUCAUCAAGUGUAUGCACUGGUAGUUGAUGGAGUUUCAAGCAGCAAGCAUGGAGCACCUUCUUCUUUCUAUCAUGUCACUUACCUGAUAAUUUUGCAAAGGGUCUCGCCACCGCGCGCAGUCCACCUCUCCCCGCAGGCAUGCCGGCCACCUCCCCACCUGACGCACAUCUUUCCCAUGGGGCCAUGGAACACGGUGAGCAGCAGUGUAAUAUGCUAUUAUGGGCUUUGCUCCACCAUGAUAAGGAGGAAAGAACUGCAGGCUAUAUCGGAGAUGGUUUGGCAUACUGGCGGUUUCGCUGAACUCGAGAAAGCUGUGUCACUUGUAUUGAGCACACCAAUCUGCCUCGGUAGACGGCUGCUGAAGUUGACCCACAGGUUGGAGACAAAGAUAUUCCAUCCAAGGCCACCAGUUGGUUAUAAGUACUUCCAAAUAGUGAUCACCCAAUCUUCUGUAUUGGCGACGUACUGUCAACUUGGUACAUUCAACAUGCGUGUUCAGCUCGCAGCGAGGAUUCUUGUGUCCAACCUGCACAAGAAUGCCAAGAAGUCCUUCUCGGAGAUGAUUAAGGACAUGUACCUGCACUACAACGAGAGAUCUUGGCUGCUUUUUUGUGGCUUCCAAACUUGAAAUGUUUGUUUGGAAGUUAGUUUAGUUUUUUGUUGUGGAUUCACAGCUUCUCACAUGUACCGUCCUCUUAGACCUUUAGAUUUUCAAAGAAACUAAAUGAAGAUAUGGUGGUAUGGUCUCAAUAGUACAACUUAAAGCCUCCCAUGCUUUAUAUUUUCUCUUAAAUUUGCUCUUGAAAUUUGCUCUUGAAGAAUCAUAUGUAUCUAUGUUAGAUUUGGU